This 657-nucleotide ribosomal RNA is filed under the name uncultured delta proteobacterium. RNAcentral describes it as "bacterial SSU rRNA". It matches the Rfam family "Bacterial small subunit ribosomal RNA", at positions 28 to 657 of the family's 1533-position model. The record is from RNAcentral. Lineage: Bacteria; Deltaproteobacteria.
AAUGAACGCUGGCGGCGUGCUUAACACAUGCAAGUCGUACGAGAAAUCCUCUGCUUGCAGGGGAGAGUAAAGUGGCGCACGGGUGAGUAUCGCGUGGGUAAUCUACCCUUGAAUCCAGGAUAACAUUUCGAAAGGGGUGCUAAUACUGGAUAACAUCCUGAUGGUUUAGGCCAUAAGGAUCAAAGAUAGCCUCUACAUGUAAGCUAUUGUUAAGGGAUGAGCCCACGUACCAUUAGCUAGUUGGUGGGGUAAGAGCCUACCAAGGCAACGAUGGUUAGCUGGUCUGAGAGGAUGAUCAGCCACACUGGAACUGAAACACGGUCCAGACUCCUACGGGAGGCAGCAGUGAGGAAUUUUGCGCAAUGGGGGAAACCCUGACGCAGCAACGCCGCGUGAGUGGAGAAGGCUUUCGGGUCGUAAAGCUCUGUCAAGAGGGAAGAAAGUAGGGGAUGGUAAUACUGUUUUCUAUUGACGGUACCUCUGAAGGAAGCACCGGCUAACUCCGUGCCAGCAGCCGCGGUAAUACGGGGGGUGCAAGCGUUAUUCGGAUUUAUUGGGCGUAAAGAGCGCGUAGGCGGUUUAUCAAGUCAGAUGUGAGAGCCCUGGGCUCAAUCUGGGAAGUGCAUUUGAAACUAGUAGACUUGAGUAUGGGAGAGG